CGUAGUUGGCCGGAGCUUCUUCUGGAGGUACCGUCAUUUUCUUCCCUCCUGAAAGCGGUUUACAACCCUAAGGCCGUCAUCCCGCACGCGGUGUCGCUGCAUCAGGCUUUCGCCCAUUGUGCAAUAUUCCCUG
This 133-nucleotide ribosomal RNA is filed under the name uncultured bacterium. Its description in RNAcentral is "partial 16S ribosomal RNA". The record is from RNAcentral.